GUGAAAGGGGCCGCCGCCGCCACGAGGGGGAGGGGACCGAGGCGCGGGGGCCCGCGAGGGGAGGUCGGGGACGAGGGCGAGGACGCAGGAGCGGGCGAAGGUAGCCUCUAAUUACUGUGUAGCUGAGAGGACCUUGAACUUCUUCCCGCAUCUAUCUCUAGGGUGCUGGAUUACAGACGUUUACCAUUGUGCGCACGCACUCAUCACAAGCCAAAUACAGUCUGUGCUGCAAGACUUCACUGUUGCUGGGCAAGUGCUCUCCAACCGAGCUACGGACCCAACCCUGUUUUUAACAGUUUACCAUCUGAUUUUAAAAUCUGCAACUAUCAGACUGAGGAGAUAGCUCAGCAGUUAAGAGCACUCACUGGCUGUUCCUUCAGAGGACCUGGAUUCAAUGCCCAGCACCCGCAUGGUCCUCAUAACAGUCUAUAGCUCCAGUUCUUGGGGAUCGGUCGUCCCAGGCAUGCAUGCACAAGAUACACAUAUAUGUGCAUGCAGGCAAAAGACCCAUACACAGAAAAUAAACAAUUAAAAAGUGCAACUAUUACAAGGUUUUGGUUCAACUUGUUUGUGACAGUGUCUAGCCUUAGCUGUCCUGGAACCAAUUAGAUCAGAAAAGCUCGGAACUCAUGGUGAUCUGCCUGCCUAUUUCUGGAGUCCUGGAAACAAUUCUUAGUUUGUAAGACGUACCAAAAGGUGUUGGGUCACCAGGCCUGAAAGUACAUGCCUGUAAUCCUAAAACCAGAGGUAGAAGCAAGGGCAUUAAGUUAGAAGCCAGCUAGGGUAUGUAGUUUACUAAAACAAACAAACUGGGGCUGGAGAGAUGGCUCAGUGGUUAAGAGCACUGACUGCUCUUCCAGAGGUCCUGAGUUCCCAGUGACCACAUGGUGGCUCACAGCCCUCUGUAAUGGGAUCUGAUGCCCUCUUCCGGUGUGUCUGAAGAAAGUGACAGUCUAUUCACAUAUAUAAAAUCUUAAAAAAAAAAAAAAAAAAGACAAGAAUGCUGAGUUAGAUUUCCCCUCUGGGCUGCCCACUGCUGAUCUAAGGGCACAUAGCCUGAACUGGAGGCAGUCUAGGAUAAAAUAUGAAUGGAAGUACUGUCUAGUGCCCAAGCCAUAGGUGCAAGGGGAGUGAGAGCUGUUUCUAAUGGAGAUAAGUUAUUCUGAGUUGCUUAAAAAGUGACUUUUCUGGUGGUACUAGACACUGAAUCUGGGACUUCAUGAAUGCUAGGCAAAUGCUCUAUUCUUGAGCUAUGUGCCCUGCAGAGCUUUUCUCUCUUGAGAUUGUCUCACUAAAUUGCCCAGGCUGACUUUGAACUGACACACUGACCCUGACAGUGAACUUUCAAUCCACGGCCCUAAACAAAUGAAGGAGGCCAGUAAACUAAUGGAUGUUAGUACCUUCUAAAUGACAUUAUUAGCAGAAUAAAAAAAAAAAAAAAAAAAAACUGCUGCUCUGGGCUGGUGAGAUGGCUCAGUGGUUAAGAGCACUGACUGCCCUUCCAGAGGUCCUGAGUUCGAAUCCCUGCAACCACAUGGUGGCUCACAACCAUCUGUAGUGAGAUCUGAUGCCCUCUUCUGGUAUGUCUGAACAGCUACAGUAUACUUAUAUACAAAAUAAAUCUUUAAGAAAAAAAACUGGCAAUUUUCAUCAGUGUUCAAACUUUUUUUUUUCCCCUUCUGGAGACUUUCAGCUCUAAAAUCCAGAGUCUACAAUCUCACUGCAACAAAUUAAGGAAACAUACUUUUCCCCCUCAAAGCCAAGACUGUAAUCUUUGGAUUGACUCAUCUUAGUUCAACUCCAAGAUAUAAACCACCAGAAACUGAGAAGAGGUCUUUUUUGCGUUUUGACUUUAGGAACUAUUUUGAGACAGGAUGUCAUUCUAUGGCCCAGACUGACCUCAAAUUCUCUGUGACCUUCCUCGGCCUCCCAUAGUGCUACAGGUGUGAGCCUCCAGGCAAAGAAUUCCUUUCAUUAGAAUUCUUGCUUCUAAACCAUCAAGUUUUAAACUGUGGUGAUUCCUGAACUAAAAAGUACAAGGAAGUAGGUUUCAAAGUGUAAAGGCCAGGAGAGGUGUGGUGAGGCACGCCUGUGACCUCAGCUCUGGAAGGAGGCUGAGGCCAGAGAAUUGAGUUCACCCUGGUGUACAUAAUGGGUUCUAGGCCAGCCUCGGCUACAAUUUCAGACCCUGUUCCAAAAACAACAAAAAACUAAGUGGAGUCCGUUGUGAGGGGACCUAAAAGAAGCGGUGCUUAAUACCCGUAAGUUAAAUCCCUAAAUUUUUUUAUCAGUAGUGGAAUGCUAAGCACUUUGCCCAGUGGCCGCAAGUUUGGAGAGGGUUAAUACCAAUCUUUCACCGUCCUGCACAGGUUUAUGGAAUUGCUGGACUCCGUUCCUGUUUUCUCCAUUUUUUGAAGGGCAUCCCUAUGGAGUGAAAAAGCAUUUGGCAAACCAUUUUACCUGCCUGUGUCUUGGUUUUCCCAGUCACCACACCCGCCUCCACCACAUCCCCCAAAUAAGGAAGCAAGAGUAGCUCAUCUUUCCGGUCUCUCUCUCUCUCUCUCUUUUUUUUCUGACAGCGAGGCUGCUGACAGGGGGCAGAACUUGGUAGUAAAAAAAAAAAGCGAAUGUUUGUCUUGGCUUCUCUCCAGGGAGAGGAUUCUCCCGGGUGGCUUUCCGAGGCGCUCAGAAAGGUAAAUAAAAACUGGAGUUCCGUGGACGACAUUAGCCUAGUCCCACACGGCACCGAAGGGAGACCACGGCCAUGCUCGCCACCUUGGAGGUUAGGACACCAAUCAGUACGGAGCCAAAAGUUUCUGCCGAAGCUUUGUGGGGCUCAGAGCGCUUUCGGCCAGCAGCCCUGUGGUCCGUUCCGGCACGCCUGAGGGAGUCCCAGUCUACUAGUCCUCUCCAAGGACGGAUAUACCCAACUGCUUUUUUCAGUUCCCUUUACAAUAUGGUCACAACUCAAAUUUGUGUGUGUGUGUUUAAUUAUUUCUAUCCCCCUCCCCCCCACUUUCAGACCGCCCCGCCAAAAUUUUCAGUCUGUCCUUCCCACUCCACGUGGACCUCCCUUCCCUGUCCCAGCAACCCCUGCGAGAGCCACCCCUAACACGUGGUCAAUUGUUGUGUUUCCUUCCUCAGGCUCCCACUUAGCAAGCAUCCGUUAGCCACUGAACAAAGGUGCCCUCUUGAGGAUGACUUUGGGGCAGCAGCCUAGGUUAUUGAGCGCUUAGAAACUAUGCAAUAAUGCUGCUUCAGCUUAAAAUGACUUCAUACCGCAUACUUCUCUGGUUAAUGACCUUAAGGAUUGGGGCUGGCGUUGCAGAGCAGUCAGAGGGCAAAGGCAGGGGAAUCUUCUGAGUUCGAUGUCAGCCUGGCUUACAUAGCAAGUUCCAGACCAACCAAAACAACAAAAUAAGUAACUUUAAGGAUUGCACAGAAGAGAAGUCAGACUUCAUGGUGUUGGGUCACGGGCACAGCACCUCUCUGCAUUGAAUGGACCGUUCCUAAAUGGCCUCCUUAACAACACUGUAAGUAAUUCUCUCUAUGUGAGCUCAGUCCGACUGGUCAAGCUAACAGGUUUCUAAAAUAAUAUCUCUUGUUCAGCAUUAAGAACACAUUGAAUGGAGAGAGAGUCCCAGAAGAUGGUUUUAGAAGGAGGAGGAGAAGGUAAGCAGCAAAAAUUAGUCCAGGGCCCAGCAUGGUGGACCAUGCUUUUAAUCCCAGCACUGGAGAGGCAUACGUGUCUCUGAGGACAGCCAGGUCUACGUAUGGAGUUCCAGGACAGCUGGGACUAUAUAGAGAGAACCUGUCUCAAAAAAAUAAGUUAAUAAAAUUAAAGAUAGUGGUAUGGGAAUCUUGAACCUGGUUUGAGGUCUCUCUUCUCUCAACACCAUGAUUCACAGCUUAUGUGGGAAAAUUAAAACAGGGGGGAAAAAUCCUUUACUAGAAGUAAAGUUGGCUGAGGAACGGGAGCUAUAGUUAAGCAGUGGAUUAUGGGUAGUGUUCACAGAAAGGAAGGGCUACACAGUGUGGAGAAGAAGGGUUGAAUUUGGUACAAGCCUAUUCCAAUCCCAACACUGGAGAAGUUAAACUAGGAAGCGUGGGGGCAGAGAGGGUGCAAAGAAGGCUCAGUAAUUAAGAGCAUUGGUUGCUCUUCCAGAGGACGAGUCCCAGCACCCACAUGGUGGCUAAUGACCAUCUGUAACUCCAGUUCCAGGGUACCCAAUGCCUUCUUCUGGCCUCCGCGGCUACCACUGGCAAUCUCUCUAUCCCUCUCCCCCCCCCCUCUGUUUAGCCCCUAAUAAACAAACAAAUUGUCGUUCUAAGGUCACAGAACUCUAGCCCAAGAGCUACAAGUAGGUGCCCAGAGCACCUACUUUUAAAGAAAGAGUCCCAAAUCGAGCAAGUGAGAAGACUGAAAACGCUGGCUGGGCCACUUGCUCUCCUAUAAGUCAGCAACUGUCAACGCUCCGGUUACCAGGUGCUAUUUCCAGUGAGCAGGGUUUGGGAUGAAGAAAAGGGAGGGGCAGAGACGUCUAGGCAAAGGGAGACCCAGUGAGCUCCUCCCUGCCAGCCCAGCUGCAGUUCUUGCUUUUAGCCACUCGGGGGCGCCCAAGCUCAACUAGAGUAAGGGGGACCGAGCACAAGCAACCUAAAGUAGCUAGCUGCUAGAGGACAGCUUAGAACGUCAGGGAUGACCCUGAAUGGAGAGUUGACGCAAGGGCCCUCUGCUCUGAGGCUGCCGACUCUGAGCCGCUGAAAGGCAUUCCCACCUCAUCUCCGCAAAAAGGGACUCGUGUCACUGGAGACACACUCUCUACCUUCUCCGAACUUCCUCCCCCCCACCUCCACACUAUGGUCGCUUCUUCCUUGACUAGUUUCCUUCCCUUCCCCCAUCCUCCUGUGGGAACCAACCCGCAGCUGGUCAGAAGGUUGAGGAAUGCUCUGCCUCGGCUAGGUGCCAAGCUGUGGACUUCCUGGGCUGUGGGGUGGGGCUUGGCAAGGCGAAGUCCUUUGGACACAGAGCCACCCAGUCUUGUAGAGCCUGCCCUUCCCCCACCCCACCCCACCUCUCUCGCUGCUAAGUAAAAGGCUCUGAAGUCUCUCUUUGUGACCACAAUCUAAUUUCCUUCCCCCACCUCAAUAGGAUUUCCUAGCCCGGGUAAAAACAUCUACAAUCUGGGGGCGGGUGCACUGUGGCUCAUAGCGGUAGGCGAGGUACCUAUUUCGGGACCUGCCUUCCCUGCCCCAGGAACGCGUUGCUGGAAGGAGGGAUUCAGUUGUCAGGGUCUCGCGCCAGCAGUUAUUAAUGGCAAUUCAUCCUCUCAAGUUUCUUCUCGGAACCUUGGGUCUAAAGUCCCUAUAUAGUUUAACACAGGAGUAAGCCGAUUUCUGAGUACCUGACCUUGACUUGGCCUUCGUUUCCCUGAAAUAAAUAAGCUGAAAUCUGAACUCACACGUCCAGAUCAAGAGCAAGGAAAUCUUUGCAGCCCAAUGUAGCCGACUGAGAUGCGUUUAGCAAGAAUGAGGAGCCGGCAAAAAAGCCACUUUAUCAUGGAGGGCGUCCAAGCCUGACAAGGACUUCUCUGUCCUACUGAAGGGGCUAGCCGUUCCAAAAUGCUUUUGCAUUUGUGGGAGGAGAAUCUUCUGAUAAUGCAGUUCGGUGGCGCCCCCUGCCUCACAGCUCCCCGGUGCCACUUUUGCAGCCAGUCUGCCUGACGUCAUCAUCUAUAGACCUGUGCCAGAUUCCCAAGUUCCUCUCUGGAAACUUCAGCCCCCACACCCUGAGCCUAGGGGAGAGCCAAUGUAGGUCACUGCAGCUGAGCCUGCAGGGCUGUCUGCUCCUUGGGCAGAGAGCCUUUCAGGCCCAGAGGAAGUCUUGCAGAGAAGCAAAAGGAAGAGCUCAGUGAGAUUCAGACAAAAAUAUAUAUCUUGGAAAAUAAAGCAGAGCCGGGGGCGUGGGGGUGGCGCACGCUUUCAAUCCCAGAGUUUGGGCGGCAGAAGCAGGUGGAUCUCUGAGAUCGAGGCCAGCCUGGUCUGCAGAGCAAGUUUCAGGGCAGCCAAAGUGGCAUAGAGAAACCCUGUCUCACCCCCUCCCUGCUAAAACGAACUGAAGAAGGAAGGAAAGCAGGGAGAAAGCCGGAGGCAAGUGGUCAGAGCCGAGGCUGUAACAGGAGCUGGAGUCUGCAGAGCUAGCCAUGCUUGGGGGAGAGCCAGAGGAGGCUUGGGCACGCUCCGGUUCUUGGCUACCCUCUUCUUGCUUUCCUUGCCUAUGUAAGGCGACUCUGGUGCCUGUCCUCUAUUCUUCAGUCACUUGGUAGGCUCAGCUCUCAAUCCUCAGGAGCCUCUGGGAUUUAUCUUAGAGACCCUCUACUUCCUCUGGCCACAGUGUCGGGGUCUUGGAGGGAACCUGGAGUGGACUGCCUCUGCCCCCACCCUGUCCUAUUGAAAACCCUUUCCUGCUUGUUAUCUGCUAAACUCAUUUUACCCAGGGAACUUCCAACCCUCUUAUCCCUUUCCUUCCCUUCUUCCUACGCUUACCCUGGAGAUCUAAGUAAUAGGAGUGUGGGUAAAUAUAAACUCAUUAUUCUAGUUUCACACAGGGGAAUCAAGGGCCCAUGGCUUUAUCCAGCUUUGAGUCCCCAGGCGAAGGGGAAGAUGAAGGAGAAGGAAAAAGAGGAGGAGGAAAAGGAGGAGGCAGCAGCAGCAGCAGCAAGGGCUAGAGAGAGAUGGCUCAGCAGUUAUGAGCACUGGCUGCUCUUCCAGAGGUUCAGUUCCCGCCCAUCUCUAAUGCCUACAACCAUCUGUAACUCCAGUUCUAAGAGGGCCAAUGCUUUUCUGUCCUCUACAGACACCAGCCAUGCACAAAUACGUAGGUAGACACGCAGGCAAAACACUCAUAGACAUAAAUAGGAUAAUAAAAACAAAUACUUCUAGUCUCAAAAAAAAAUAUUUAUUAGUCACAGUCCUGGUAGGUUUUUGGGGGAAGUGGGGGGUGUUCAUUUGCUUUUUCGUUUGUGUUUGUUUGUUUUGGGGACAGGGUCCCACUGUGUGGAGCAAGCUGGCCUCAAAUUCAGAGAUCCACCGACCUCCGGCCUUCAGGGCUGAGUGCAGGGAUUAAAGAUGUGUCCUAUGGUGUCUGCCACCUCAUCUGGUCUUAGUGCUGAGACUUGAACCCACAACUUUGUCUAUACUCAGGGGCAUCUUCAGUCCCCAAAUUUUAAGCCUGUUUUAACUGGAAACAAGGGUGUGGGGGAGGGGAAGUGGUGGAAGGAUCUAGUCCUCUCUGCUUCCUUCUUCCCCUGAGAGUACAGUCAACUCCCGAGAAGGUGUACGGGUAGUAUAUCCUGCUACUGCUUGGUGCCCAUUUGCCUUCAUUAGCAGAAUCCUGGCGCCCAGGAGGCACUCUGAUAAAUGGGUUUUGCACAGAGUCAAACUAAAUCUGACUAUGCUUUCUGACUGAACUGAGACGUUGUCCCACAUUGGAGAAAGGUUAAAAAAUUAUCCCCAGAUCACAGCUGGAUCUCCUGGAGAGAACAAGGACCUCGAGCUGUGUUUCCCUUCCAUUCUUUCCCAUGACCCCUCUGGUGGGCGUCCUAAACCAGAUUCCUGAGCUGUCCCCAGUUUGAGUCAGUGAGGCUCAGGUAAGCCUAAGAAUUGGCAUUUCUCACAGGGUCCCAGGUAAAGCGGACAUGAAUCUCCUUUACUGAUCUGAGAAUCAUCGCCUCAGUGAAUCCCAGCUCCUAACCUCAAUGUUCACACAGAAGACCUGCUUGGUUUCAAUUUUAUACAGGAGGAAGGAAGAGGGGAGAAUUCCGAGCAUCCUAAAUUUGUCCGCCACACAAGACAAGGGUAAGCAGGUCAAUCUCGGACUGGUUAUCUGUGCUCUCUUUAUUUAGUUCCUUGACUCCAUCCUUAUUGAAAGUCACUUCCCCCCAAACAUGUUUUGCUACAGCGAGGGAGCACUAGGAAUUUCCUGUGGCUAGGCAGCCCAGUGCCGGCAGGGGUGGAGGCAGAGCUAGGCAAUCCAGUCCUUCCCUUGGCUCGGGCAGGGCCACGUGCCCCACCCCCUCGCUUGCACAUGUCUCCGCCGCCACCGCCGCAACAGCCGGGCUGUUUAUGAGCGAGUUGUUGUGGUAGAAAUGGAGCAGGCUGCACAUGCCCGGGCCAUGUGACCCGGGCAGCCCGCGUGAGCUUCAAGACAGCACAAACACACUCGGCCCUGUCCUCCAGUGGCCGGAGGAACAGGCGGGAAGGAAGGGGGAAGAAGGGAAAGGCCACUGGGCCGUCUUGUUAUCUGCUGCCCUGUUUUCUGCUUAUGUCCUUUUUGUCUCUUUGCUGAGACGCUGAUAGCACAGUCAACAGCAAGUAAGCCUGGUUUCUCCAGGAUGCUCACUCCCCAAACAGCUCUUUGGCAUUUGCACCCACCCAGAGCCCAAAUCCCCCAAAUAACAAAGGGUCUCUCCAGGUCAGGAACACAGUAUAUCUCACCCCAGUCUCCUUAAGAUGUAUCGUCCCAUAGUCUCCAAGCUGAGACCUGGCUUUUCCUGGAGCCUGGGCUCCCCCCAACCAGGCUUCCCUUAUCCCCUCUUUCUAGGAAGGACGAUGUCACACAUUAGUGCAGCUAGUGCCCACUCCAAGAUUAGAACAAGGAGAAUUCAGCGAUUUACGAGCCGGGGACAGGAAGCUAAGAAUGUGUUUGCAGCGGGGGGUCUGUGGGUCCGGUGGAUCGGACGGGGAAGUCCCUUUGGUGGUGAGGAGGAGCUGGAGACCUAGAAAGGCUGUCACACCCGACUUCUGAAGAACAAGCAACGGGGGUAAAAGACAAGUUUAGCUUUCAUCCCUCACUAAAACGCCCCCCCCCCCGCUUACGGCUCACAGGGACUGGGACCCCAGAGCCCCUACUUCCAGCCCACAGCUCCUGCCCCCUUGCCCACUGGUGACCUUGUUUCUGCACUGCAGUGCUAAGACUGCAGGAGUCAGGCGGACAGUAGGUUAGCAGGAACAAGCAAAUGAAAUGAGAGCGACCCACAUUUCCUCACACACCGAAAAACUUUGCAGCUUCUGCAUUGCAGAGCCGGUGCUUUUUAUUUAUUUAGUUAUUUAUUUAUUUUUUCAAAUCUCUCCACUGGGCCCCUACACACGUCUGCAUUUUUGCAACCCGCACAGAUUUUUUUUCCCCCUCCAGGGUGCAAACUGUGCAUUCUAAUGAGCCAAAGCUCCUUCCUGCCGCAUUGAAAAUUUCAUCAAAUCCUGUCCCCUCCCCCCACUUAGAAGAGUGGGAAGGAUCCUAAAUUUGUGAAGUAGCAUCUUCUCCCUCCUUCCCCUGACUCCCUUCCCCUCAUCAUACUGCAGACCUUCCAACCAACAGCUGCAACCAAGGGAGGAGGACCAGGAACGUGAGCCUUAUUCCUUCCUUCCUUCCACACAAGCUGAGCUAGCCAGGCAGGGGUUGCUUUCUUUUUUUUGUUUUUUUAUUUCCACCACCACCACCCUCCCCCCGCAGCCCACUACACCCUCCUUUCCCUCCGCAUCCCAGCCAGUGUUUAUGUAAGCCUCCCAGAAGCUACACAUGGCCCCCAGUGCUUGCCCAGGCCCCAGUUUCUCCAAAGUCCAUCCUUCUCACGAGGACUGUCAUGAGCUUCUGGCUUCCCUAAGCAGCUGCACAGAGAUCUGCCCAAAGAAGAGGAGACGCUGGAUCCGGAGAGGGUUUGAGGUGCAGCUUAGAAUGGAGAUGAGAAAGGCACAGAGACACCCUGCCUCCUCAUGCAUAUACACACCACAGGCUUCUCUGCACCUUAAUCCACAGGAUAGGCACGCAGCAGGGGCUUAGAAGACAGUAUCACCAGUGGGCUACAGGAAUAGUAUAGCAGGACAGGAGACAUCAGUAUGACAUGCUAGAUACUACGGUCUCCCUAGGUCUCCCUAGCUAGAAAGACGGACUCUUUACCAGAUAAAGGGUCAGCCGGUGUUUAUCUUACACUGCCAAGGACACUCUAUGCCACUUACAGGAUCCUGUGAUGUGACUUAGAUUCUGGGCUCAGAAGAGGUGACCCUCCUCUGAGUUCCCAGAGCAUUAAGGUAUCGUUGAUCCUGGAUGGUGGCUUUAAAGGUACACAUUUCUCAGGCAGGUAAAUGGGAGAGCCAGAUCAUCUUUCCUUUAGGGUCACGUCACAACUUCUGUCUUAAAUGUCCAGCUCAUUCAUUCAUUUACGUAUUUAUUUAUUAGAACAGGGUCUCGCCGACUGGCUUAGAACUCACCAUGCAGACCAGGAUGGGCUAGAACUCACACAACCCCACCGACCUCUAUCUCCCAAGCUAGGAACAAAGAACGGUCAUCAAAAAACGGGCUCAACCCAGUUUUAACACAUCCCUGGAAGGAAGCACCAAGGGGCUCUGAGGCCCCUGGCCUAUCAGCCCUUGUCCCAAUUCAUCACCAGCUGUGGACCCCAUAAUUAGAGGACUUGAUAGAAAAAGAACUCUGAUGACUGCUUGGGUCCCACACCUCUGGAGCAGCCCCCGAGAAAAUUUUGGUUUUUGUUUUUAAUCGCUCGUUGGUUUGGUCAUUGCAUCCUACUCUGGGCCCUUCCUUCUCUGUACAAUCAGAUGAUGGGAACGUAGGAUGGCCAAAGGGUUUAAGGGAAGAGGAAAUGCUGGAGUUAGAGGAGCGGUUCUGGGAAGCCAAGGCUCUUGCGUGGGAGGGAGCAAAAGCUUCUCUUUUGGUGCCACACCUUCCUUAAGGCACCAUCACUGUUUGGGAUGUAUCUCUUCCAGCACCCGUUCUCCCUGGGAAGGGAGAUCUUGCUAGCUGAAUUUCUUCUUCGAUCCUGGCCCUGAAACCCCAGCACUACCUUGCUUACUGACAGUGACACAGUGGCUGUUCCAACUGAGGCUGGGGAGCUUCACACUUCCAAUGACCUCCAUUAACUCUGUCCUUCUUUGGUAGUGUUCUGUAAAUACAGUUUGAAGACAAAUCUCCUUAUGUCUCAGUUUCCUGAUCUCCAGUAUACAAGAAUGUGACCUACUACCCUGCGAAGCUAUGAAAACCAAAGGAGAUCAUGUUCAUCAGGCUCUCAGCCCAGGGCAUGGCAUACAGUUGGUCCUUAAUAUGAAAUUUACUGUCUGAUUUUUCCUGGAAAGAACUGUGAUUGGGUAAAGGUGGAGAAACGCAUCCAUUGAACCCAGCCAGUCCUGGCUCUUGCCUUAUCCUCUCUUUUCUCAACUCAGACUUUGUCUCUCCUAUCUUGAGGUCCUCCCCGCCAACAGGGAGAUUUUGGGUAGGAUAGGGAAAACCAGCUAGCCUUUUAGAAACCAGGAGAAUGAUCUAGAAAGGCAGGAAAUGAGCCUCUCUCAUAGGUAAGUGGCUGCUUUCCUGAUUCAGGGGCAUCCCCAGGUUUCUAUCCCAGGUUUGCAUCACCUGGGCCAACAGGUUUUUACCCUGGGCACUGAGGCCUUGGUGAGAAAGGAGGGGGAUGGGAAGGCACCUACUGAAGCCUGACCUAUUUUCAUUUGGGACCCACCCUCAGUCACUCAGUCAAACAGUCUGCCCAAGAUUUAGGCCACUGGAGAUCUGCACAGGGUGUUGUCCUGUUCCCCAGAACCACCUCCUGUCAAGGAGAAUAGAUCUUGGAUCACAUACCCACCCGGCCAUGUACACUCAGUGCACAAACUCACGUGUAAAGGUGAUGCUUAUACUCAUGAUCACAAGCUUCUGGCCCCUCAGUAGUAUGCAGAGGACCUCUAGCCAGAGCUUAAAAGUCUUGAUCUUUCCUUUUUCUAUUUUUCUUUAAAGUUUUUUAUUUUUUAUGAUUUAUUUAUUUAUUAUGUAUAAGUACACUGUUGCUCUCUUCAGACACACCAGAAGGAGACAUUGGAUCCCAUUACAGAUGGUUGUGAGCCACCAUGUGGUUGCUGGGAUUUGAACUCAGGACCUCUGGAAGAGCAGUCAGUGCUCUUAACCGCUGAGCCAUCUCUCCACCUUGUUUUUCUGUCUCUGAUGUCUUUUCCAGUUCAAAGGAUCCUGGGAAAACUAAGGACAAAGUUGAAAAUGCAAACACACAGAGGAUUCAACAAAGCCUCUAAAUAGUGAGAUUUCUCCUCAGGAUCCCAGACUUUUCAAAGAAACCAAGUGGAAGAACUCACAAUAUGGAUUGGAUCCAGGGCUGGGCUUAAUUGAGUGCCAGUCAUUAAGUCUAAUCUCUUGGGGGCUAAGGCUGGCUUUACAUAUAUGCGUGCAUGUAUGUGUGUGUGUGUGUAUCUGUGUGUCUGUGUGUGUGUGUAUCUGUGUGUCUGUGUGUGUGUAUCUGUGUAUGUGUCUGUGUGUGUCUAUGUGUAUAUCUGUGUGUGUAUGUGUGUAUGUGUCUACAUGUGUGUGUAUGUAUAUAUGUGUGUCUGUGUGUGUAUCUGUGUAUGUGUGUGUGUGUUUGUAUGUAUGUGUGUAUGUGUCUAUGUGUGUCUCCCUCUGAGUUUGUGUGUGUACAUGUGUUAAGCUAGAAUGUCUGACUAGUGGGAGGGGAAGGUUGUUGUUGUGUGGUUGUUUUUACAGAGAUUUUUGACUAAUUGAUUGAUUGACUGAGACAAGUUUCAUGCUCUCACCAAGAAUUGGUGGCCUGGCACUCUAAGUAGCCCAGGCUCACUCUGAACUCACAGUAAUUCUCCUGCCUCAACUUCUAGACUUCUUGGACUAUAGGCAUAGUCAGCCACCAUCCUACUGGCUAUCAGGUAUGCUCAACUACCUCUGUUGUCUUGUUUUAUUUUUUAGUUAACUAAAUUUUUUAUGUGUGUGGGUAUUUUGCCCCCUGCAUGUAUGUAUGUCCCUGGUGCCCAUAGAGGCCAGAAAACGGUACCAGAUUCUUGGGAGCUGGUGUUACAAGAUGGUUGUGAGCUGCCAUGUGGGCCUUGGGUAUUGAUCCUCUGCAAGAGCAACAGUUGCUCUCAACUGCUGAACCAUCUCCCUACGCUUGUCUUCAGCCAAGGUUCAAGUCAAUGAGAAGCCACACAUCUAGUUACCACCCCCCAAACCCUGGCUCCCUGGUUCCUUUGCUCUUCUUCCAGAAGCUCCUGAUAGAGAAAGGAAUACAGCUUACAGUUUAGAAUUUUCUAGAGCCAAGGAAAAGCCCUACCUUUCAUUUUGUUCCCUGGAACACAACAAAAAAGAAAGAGCAUGGGAAGUGGGCUUAUACUGCUAUACCUGCUACAGAAGGAGUCUCUAAAGACACUUUGACUUGGUGUAUGGUUAACACAUCUGUAACCCCAGUGCUUGGGAGGCAGAAAGCAGAAAGAUUAAAACUGCAAGGCCAGCCAAUAGAAGUAGACCCUGUCUCAAAAAUAAAAUAAGAUUUAAAAAAAACAAAAACAAAAACAAAAAACCACUCUUUGUCAGGGAGAAAAGGAGGAGCCCUGUAUUAAGUGGAGAGGAAACAGGGAUCUGAUGUAACCGCCCCAAAGGCCUCUCCUUCCUUUCCUCCCAGCCUCAGCUUUCAUACCUCACACAGACUACAAAACAACCUUGCUUCUUGCCAAGAGCAGGGUCAGGCCGAAUGAAUUUCGACUCUGGUUCUCUCUUCUCCCUGGCUGUGAACUCCAGGAGGGAGUCUUGAUCUCUGGCCCUCCCCUGAUAUGAAAACAUGCUGAGCAAGAGGAUGUGGGCAGGACCACCACAGUUGCAAACAGAGCUGAGGGCCUUCGGGGGACCCAGAGCAACUAAAGGAAGCAGGGGAGUGAACUAUGUUGGAGGCAAUGCUGGGACUAGGCGUG
Molecule: long non-coding RNA, 13761 nt
Organism: Rattus norvegicus (Norway rat)
Lineage: Eukaryota; Metazoa; Chordata; Mammalia; Rodentia; Muridae
Source: RefSeq, a predicted model, not a curated record